RNAcentral lists this small RNA (29 nucleotides) under Bombyx mori (domestic silkworm). Its description in RNAcentral is "ovarian small RNA-27105". The record is from RNAcentral. Lineage: Eukaryota; Metazoa; Arthropoda; Insecta; Lepidoptera; Bombycidae.
UCCAUUUAAGGCUUGAAGUGCAAGCGAGA